UGCAUUCACUACUGUGAGUCGCUCUGGAUAAGAGCGUCUGCUAAAUGACAAAAA
Salmo salar (Atlantic salmon) is the source of this 54-nucleotide non-coding RNA. The record is from Rfam. Lineage: Eukaryota; Metazoa; Chordata; Actinopteri; Salmoniformes; Salmonidae.